GACGAACGCUGGCGGCGUGCUUAACACAUGCAAGUCGAACGGAAAGGCCCUGCUUUUGUGGGGUGCUCGAGUGGCGAACGGGUGAGUAACACGUGAGUAACCUGCCCUUGACUUUGGGAUAACUUCAGGAAACUGGGGCUAAUACCGGAUAGGAGCUCCUGCUGCAUGGUGGGGGUUGGAAAGUUUCGGCGGUUGGGGAUGGACUCGCGGCUUAUCAGCUUGUUGGUGGGGUAGUGGCUUACCAAGGCUUUGACGGGUAGCCGGCCUGAGAGGGUGACCGGCCACAUUGGGACUGAGAUACGGCCCAGACGCCUACGGGAGGGAACAGUGGGGAAUAUUGCACAGUGGGCGGAAGCCUGAUGCAGCAACGCCGCGUGCGGGAUGACGGCCUUCGGGUUGUGAACCGCUUUCGCCUGUGACGAAGCGGGAGUGACGGUAAUGGGUAAAGAAGCACCGGCUAACUACGUG
RNAcentral lists this ribosomal RNA (468 nucleotides) under uncultured bacterium. RNAcentral's name for it is "partial 16S ribosomal RNA". It matches the Rfam family "Bacterial small subunit ribosomal RNA", at positions 28 to 507 of the family's 1533-position model. The record is from RNAcentral.